Long non-coding RNA from Bos taurus (domestic cattle), 1025 nucleotides. Lineage: Eukaryota; Metazoa; Chordata; Mammalia; Artiodactyla; Bovidae. The record is from Ensembl.
GUGGUGCUGGAGAAGACUCUUUUGAAUCCCUUGGACAGCAAGGAGAUCAAACCAGUCAAUCUAAAGGAAACCAACCCUUGAAUACUAAUUGGAAAGAGUGAUGCUGAAGCUCAAGCUCCAAUACUUUGGCCACCUGAUGCGAAGAGUACACUCACUGGAAAAGACCCAGAUACUGGGAAAGAUUGAGUAAAAGGGGACGGAGGACAGAGGAUCAGACGGUUGCAUGGCAUCACCGACUCAAUGGACAUGAGUUUGAGCAAGCUCCGGGAGAUGGUGAAGGACAGGGAAGCCUGGCAUGCUGCAGUCUAUGGGGUCACAACGAGUCAGACAGGACUGAGCGACUGAACAACAGCAGCGAGAAACAAAAGAAAGCUCAAUCUAGGUAGCCAUUUGCAGUCUCCCUUCUGCUGUCCACAGUCCUCCGAGAGAAAAAGGUGGAAAGGAAACUGGGAAAGAGGCAGAGAUGUCAAGAGGGUUUCGGGAAGUCUUCAAAAGGCUGAGAACAGAAAGUAGCUUGUGUUAGGUAGGGGAGCCAGCGGCUAACAGAAAAGGUAAGACAGAGCAGUCGCGAAACAAAAGCGUUAAACCAGCAAAGGAUGACAGCGUGGGGGAGGGGCAAGGUCAAAUGGAGUCGUUUUUUAAGGCAAAGCUCUGGGGUGAGGGCCAAACUUGAGCUGGCGAGCACAAAAGAGAAGGCACUCCGGGAGGCGGCUGUGAGAGGUGGAACGAGUCAGAGAUGACGAUGAGAAUGGAAAGAAAUCAAAGGGUCCGUCGAGUGAAGGGGGGCACGAAGGAAACGCGCCUGGGAGGGCCCCGCUUUGUUAGGCGAGGGCGGCGGCGGGGGCUGCACGUGCAGCCGGGAGCGCCCGGGGCCGCGGGGCUCCACGCCGGGGAGCGCCCGGGGGGAGGCGCGACGCGCGGGGGGCGGCCCUCCAGUUACCCGGGCCUCUUGCCCGCGGGCCCCGCGCUACAAAAGGGGCGCAUUAUCAAGUCCUAGGCCGCAGCAGAUUGCGGCUGUCCUGCCA